RNAcentral lists this ribosomal RNA (464 nucleotides) under uncultured bacterium. Its description in RNAcentral is "SSU rRNA". It matches the Rfam family "Bacterial small subunit ribosomal RNA", at positions 26 to 518 of the family's 1533-position model. The record is from RNAcentral.
AGGAUUAACGCUGGCGGCGUGCCUAACACAUGCAAGUCGAACGAGGUAGCAAUACCUAGUGGCAGACGGGUGAGUAGCGCGUGGUCAACCUACCGUUGAGUGGGGGAUAACUAGCCGAAAGGUUAGCUAAUACCGCAUACGUCUCCGAGGGGCAUCCCUUGGUGAUAAAAGGAGCAAUCCGCUCGAUGACGGGACCGCGUCCCAUUAGCUAGUUGGUGGGGUAACGGCCUACCAAGGCAUCGAUGGGUAGCUGGUUUGAGAGAGCGACCAGCCGCACUGGGACUGAGAUACGGCCCAGACUCCUACGGGAGGCAGCAGUGAGGAAUUUUCCGCAAUGGGCGAAAGCCUGACGGAGCGACGCCGCGUGUGGGAAGAAGGCCUUCGGGUCGUAAACCACUGUCGAAGGGGAAGAUAAUGACGGUACCCUUGGAGGAAGCCCCGGCUAACUACGUGCCAGCAGCCGC